This 450-nucleotide ribosomal RNA is filed under the name uncultured bacterium. Its description in RNAcentral is "bacterial SSU rRNA". It matches the Rfam family "Bacterial small subunit ribosomal RNA", at positions 329 to 793 of the family's 1533-position model. The record is from RNAcentral.
UCCCAGACUCCUACGGGAGGCAGCAGUGGGGAAUAUUGGACAAUGGGGGGAACCCUGAUCCAGCGACGCCGCGUGAGUGAAGAAGUAUUUCGGUAUGUAAAGCUCUAUCAGCAGGGAAGAAAGAAAUGACGGUACCUGACUAAGAAGCCCCGGCUAACUACGUGCCAGCAGCCGCGGUAAUACGUAGGGGGCAAGCGUUAUCCGGAUUUACUGGGUGUAAAGGGAGCGUAGACGGCAAUGCAAGUCUGGAGUGAAAGGCGGGGGCCCAACCCCCGGACUGCUCUGGAAACUGUGCAGCUAGAGUGCAGGAGAGGCAGGCGGAAUUCCUAGUGUAGCGGUGAAGUGCGUAGAUAUUAGGGGGAACACCGGUGGCGAAGGCGGCCUGCUGGACUGUAACUGACGUUGAGGCUCGAAAGCGUGGGGAGCAAACAGGAUUAGAUACCCCCGUAC